This 253-nucleotide ribosomal RNA is filed under the name uncultured bacterium. RNAcentral's name for it is "partial 16S ribosomal RNA". It matches the Rfam family "Bacterial small subunit ribosomal RNA", at positions 524 to 776 of the family's 1533-position model. The record is from RNAcentral.
UACGGGGGGGGCAAGCGUUGUUCGGAAUUACUGGGCGUAAAGAGCGCGCAGGCGGUCGAUUUAGUCGCGUGUGAAAGCCCCCGGCUCAACUGGGGAGGGUCACGCGAUACUGAUCGACUCGAAGGCAGGAGAGGGUAGUGGAAUUCCCGGUGUAGUGGUGAAAUGCGUAGAUAUCUGGAGGAACACCGGUGGCGAAGGCGGCAUCCUGGACCAACACUGACACUGAGGAGCGAAAGCCAGGGGAGCAAACGGG